GACGAACGCUGGCGGCGUGCUUAACACAUGCAAGUCGAGCGGAAAGGCCCUUUCGGGGGUACUCGAGCGGCGAACGGGUGAGUAACACGUGAGUAAUCUGCCCUUGGCUUUGGGAUAACCACCGGAAACGGUGGCUAAUACCGGAUAUGACGGGCUCCGGCAUCGGGGUUCGUGGAAAGUUUUUUCGGCCAGGGAUGUGCUCGCGGCCUAUCAGCUUGUUGGUGGGGUAAUGGCCUACCAAGGCUUCGACGGGUAGCCGGCCUGAGAGGGUGACCGGCCACACUGGGACUGAGACACGGCCCAGACUCCUACGGGAGGCAGCAGUGGGGAAUAUUGGACAAUGGGCGGAAGCCUGAUCCAGCAACGCCGCGUGAGGGA
This 378-nucleotide ribosomal RNA is filed under the name uncultured bacterium. RNAcentral's name for it is "bacterial SSU rRNA". It matches the Rfam family "Bacterial small subunit ribosomal RNA", at positions 28 to 408 of the family's 1533-position model. The record is from RNAcentral.